GAGAAGAAUAGAUCCAUUAAGGUUGAUUAUAUUAGAUCGGGCUGGAGCGUAAGUCAAGCUUUCAAUGAAUGCUUGAAAGCUAUUCUAAAACUAGCUCCAUUGUUACUUGUUAACCCCAAACCGGUGCUUGAAGAUGAGCUUGAUGAUCGAUGGAGAUAGCUUAAGGGAUGUCUAGGUGCAUUGGAUGGUACUUACAUUCAAAUUAGAGUUCCAUCUAAGGACAAACCAAGAUACAGGACAAGAAAGGGAGAAAUAGCAACUAAUGUACUAGGAGUUUGUGAUAAAAAUCUUAAUUUUACUUAUGUAUUACCUGGUUGGGAAGGAUCAGCGGCUGAUGGUCGUAUAUUACGAAAUGCUAUAACUCGAACGAAUGGUUUGAAAAUUCCCGAGGGUAAUUAUUAUUUGUGCGACGGAGGAUAUACAAAUGGAAAUGGUUUUCUUUCACCUUACCGAGGAUAUAGAUAUUGGUUAAGGGAUUGGCAAGGCGAAAAUCCACCACCCCAAUGUCGAGAAGAGCUUUUCAAUAUGAAGCAUGCUAGAGCUCGUAAUGUUAUUGAAAGGACAUUUGGUCUCUUGAAAGGACGUUGGGGAAUUCUUAGAAGCCCUUCUUGGUACUCGGUUAAGAUACAUAACAUGAUUAUUAGUGCUUGUUGUUUGAUACACAACUUUAUUCGUAGAGAGAUGGAAGUGGAUUCCUUAGAGACCGAUGUGGAAGAACAAGUAGAAUAUCAACAAGAUAACAUUAAUGUUGUUGAAUCAUCUCA
Long non-coding RNA from Solanum stenotomum, 764 nucleotides. RefSeq lists it as uncharacterized. The transcript is spliced from 3 exons. Lineage: Eukaryota; Viridiplantae; Streptophyta; Magnoliopsida; Solanales; Solanaceae. The record is from RefSeq and is a predicted model, not a curated record.